RNAcentral lists this ribosomal RNA (450 nucleotides) under uncultured bacterium. RNAcentral's name for it is "partial 16S ribosomal RNA". It matches the Rfam family "Bacterial small subunit ribosomal RNA", at positions 354 to 796 of the family's 1533-position model. The record is from RNAcentral.
GUGGGGAAUCUUCCGCAAUGGACGAAAGUCUGACGGAGCGACGCCGCGUGAGUGAUGAAGGCCUUCGGGUCGUAAAGCUCUGUCAUCGGGGACGAAUGGUCGUUGGAGUGGAAAGCCAGCGAAAUGACGGUACCCGAGAAGGAAGCCACGGCUAACUACGUGCCAGCAGCCGCGGUAAUACGUAGGUGGCAAGCGUUGUCCGGAAUUAUUGGGCGUAAAGCGCGCGCAGGUGGGAUCUUAAGUCCAUUUUGAAAGUUCGGAGCUCAACUCCGUGAUGGGAUGGAAACUGGGAUUCUUGAGUACCGGAGAGGAAAGCGGAAUUCCCCGUGUAGCGGUGAAAUGCGUAGAUAUGGGGAGGAACACCAGUGGCGAAGGCGGCUUUCUGGACGGUGUCUGACACUGAGGCGCGAAAGCCAGGGGAGCGAACGGGAUUAGAUACCCGUGUAGUCC